AUUGAACGCUGGCGGCAUGCCUUACACAUGCAAGUCGAACGGUAACAGGUUAAGCUGACGAGUGGCGAACGGGUGAGUAAUGUAUCGGAACGUGCCCAGUCGUGGGGGAUAACUGCUCGAAAGAGCAGCUAAUACCGCAUACGACCUGAGGGUGAAAGCGGGGGAUCGCAAGACCUCGCGCGAUUGGAGCGGCCGAUAUCAGAUUAGGUAGUUGGUGGGGUAAAGGCCUACCAAGCCGACGAUCUGUAGCUGGUCUGAGAGGACGACCAGCCACACUGGGACUGAGACACGGCCCAGACUCCUACGGGAGGCAGCAGUGGGGAAUUUUGGACAAUGGACGCAAGUCUGAUCCAGCCAUGCCGCGUGCGGGAAGAAGGCCUUCGGGCUGUGAACCGCUUUUGUCAGGGAAGAAACGCUCUGGGUUAAUACCUCGGGGUAAUGACGGUACCUGAAGAAUAAGCACCGGCUAACUACGUGCCAGCCGCCGCGGUAA
RNAcentral lists this ribosomal RNA (493 nucleotides) under uncultured bacterium. RNAcentral describes it as "partial 16S ribosomal RNA". It matches the Rfam family "Bacterial small subunit ribosomal RNA", at positions 30 to 523 of the family's 1533-position model. The record is from RNAcentral.